This 29-nucleotide non-coding RNA is filed under the name Mus musculus (house mouse). The record is from RNAcentral. Lineage: Eukaryota; Metazoa; Chordata; Mammalia; Rodentia; Muridae.
UCCNGAAUAAUUGUCACCUCACCCCUGUG